UGGGGUGUCGCCAAGCGGUAAGGCACGUGGUUCUGGUCCACGCAUUCCGGGGUUCGAAUCCCUGCACCCCAGCCA
This 75-nucleotide transfer RNA is filed under the name Candidatus Nomurabacteria bacterium. RNAcentral describes it as "tRNA-Gln". It matches the Rfam family "tRNA". From Rfam's summary of the family: Transfer RNA (tRNA) molecules are approximately 80 nucleotides in length. The record is from RNAcentral. Lineage: Bacteria; Candidatus Nomuraibacteriota.